Epinephelus lanceolatus (giant grouper) is the source of this 546-nucleotide non-coding RNA. The record is from RefSeq and is a predicted model, not a curated record. NCBI's taxonomy places the organism in Eukaryota, Metazoa, Chordata, Actinopteri, Perciformes, Serranidae.
UGUGGACAUGGUAAAUAUACUGCAGGGCUGAGUAGAGGAAACGAGGACAUGUGGCUGUGACUGAGGCUCACUGCUCUCUGAGGUGGAUUCACAGAUGGUUUCAGCCUGUAAAGAUCUUCUUCUUGUGUCGUCGUUGGCUGCUUUCAUUUUUCUGGGGCUGUGUCUGGUGCGUACACAUGGAGACGUGAUCAUCAAUCAUUUCAUCAUGUUCCCGUCAAGAUCUUCUGCUGCGACCAUCAGCGCCAUCACCAUCAUCAUCACCAUCACCAUCACCAUCACCAUCACCAUGGCAGUGACUGUCUUUGCUGCGUGGAUUUGGAAAUGUCGGGAGAUCAGUGAGUUGACUCAUCUGUCCCUGUAGGCUGUUGAUGUGAGGGGACGCUCUGCUCAGUCGGUGUCCUGUCUGUCUCCAGGACUGCACAGAGACACAUGAGACGAGUCUGUAUAAUAUUUGAUAUGAUGCAGCAGAGUGUCCUGCACUGUGUCUCCUGACUGCAACUUAAACAUACAACAUGUAAAACCUGAAUAAAAACUACCGAGACUACU